RNAcentral lists this ribosomal RNA (2923 nucleotides) under Klebsiella pneumoniae. Its description in RNAcentral is "23S ribosomal RNA". It matches the Rfam family "Bacterial large subunit ribosomal RNA". Lineage: Bacteria; Pseudomonadati; Pseudomonadota; Gammaproteobacteria; Enterobacterales; Enterobacteriaceae. The record is from RNAcentral.
GGGUUGUGAGGUUAAGCGACUAAGCGUACACGGUGGAUGCCCUGGCAGUCAGAGGCGAUGAAGGACGUGCUAAUCUGCGAAAAGCGUCGGUAAGGUGAUAUGAACCGUUAUAACCGGCGAUGUCCGAAUGGGGAAACCCAGUGCAAUUCGUUGCACUAUCGUUAACUGAAUACAUAGGUUAACGAGGCGAACCGGGGGAACUGAAACAUCUAAGUACCCCGAGGAAAAGAAAUCAACCGAGAUUCCCCCAGUAGCGGCGAGCGAACGGGGAGCAGCCCAGAGUCUGAAUCAGCUUGUGUGUUAGUGGAACGGUCUGGAAAGUCCGACGGUACAGGGUGAUAGUCCCGUACACCAAAAUGCACAGGCUGUGAACUCGAAGAGUAGGGCGGGACACGUGGUAUCCUGUCUGAAUAUGGGGGGACCAUCCUCCAAGGCUAAAUACUCCUGACUGACCGAUAGUGAACCAGUACCGUGAGGGAAAGGCGAAAAGAACCCCGGCGAGGGGAGUGAAAAAGAACCUGAAACCGUGUACGUACAAGCAGUGGGAGCACCUUCGGGUGUGACUGCGUACCUUUUGUAUAAUGGGUCAGCGACUUAUAUUCUGUAGCAAGGUUAACCGUAUAGGGGAGCCGCAGGGAAACCGAGUCUUAACUGGGCGUUAAGUUGCAGGGUAUAGACCCGAAACCCGGUGAUCUAGCCAUGGGCAGGUUGAAGGUUGGGUAACACUAACUGGAGGACCGAACCGACUAAUGUUGAAAAAUUAGCGGAUGACUUGUGGCUGGGGGUGAAAGGCCAAUCAAACCGGGAGAUAGCUGGUUCUCCCCGAAAGCUAUUUAGGUAGCGCCUCGUGAACUCAUCUUCGGGGGUAGAGCACUGUUUCGGCUAGGGGGUCAUCCCGACUUACCAACCCGAUGCAAACUACGAAUACCGAAGAAUGUUAUCACGGGAGACACACGGCGGGUGCUAACGUCCGUCGUGAAGAGGGAAACAACCCAGACCGCCAGCUAAGGUCCCAAAGUCAUGGUUAAGUGGGAAACGAUGUGGGAAGGCACAGACAGCCAGGAUGUUGGCUUAGAAGCAGCCAUCAUUUAAAGAAAGCGUAAUAGCUCACUGGUCGAGUCGGCCUGCGCGGAAGAUGUAACGGGGCUAAACCAUGCACCGAAGCUGCGGCAGCGACACUAUGUGUUGUUGGGUAGGGGAGCGUUCUGUAAGCCUGCGAAGGUGACCUGUGAGGGUUGCUGGAGGUAUCAGAAGUGCGAAUGCUGACAUAAGUAACGAUAAAGCGGGUGAAAAGCCCGCUCGCCGGAAGACCAAGGGUUCCUGUCCAACGUUAAUCGGGGCAGGGUGAGUCGACCCCUAAGGCGAGGCCGAAAGGCGUAGUCGAUGGGAAACAGGUUAAUAUUCCUGUACUUGGUGUUACUGCGAAGGGGGGACGGAGAAGGCUAUGUUAGCCGGGCGACGGUUGUCCCGGUUUAAGCAUGUAGGCUGAUUGUCCAGGCAAAUCCGGAUAAUCAAGGCUGAGGUGUGAUGACGAGGCACUACGGUGCUGAAGUAACAAAUGCCCUGCUUCCAGGAAAAGCCUCUAAGCAUCAGGUAACAUUAAAUCGUACCCCAAACCGACACAGGUGGUCAGGUAGAGAAUACCAAGGCGCUUGAGAGAACUCGGGUGAAGGAACUAGGCAAAAUGGUGCCGUAACUUCGGGAGAAGGCACGCUGGUGUGUAGGUGAAGCCCCCGCGGGUGGAGCUGAGACCAGUCGAAGAUACCAGCUGGCUGCAACUGUUUAUUAAAAACACAGCACUGUGCAAACACGAAAGUGGACGUAUACGGUGUGACGCCUGCCCGGUGCCGGAAGGUUAAUUGAUGGGGUUAUCCGUAAGGAGAAGCUCUUGAUCGAAGCCCCGGUAAACGGCGGCCGUAACUAUAACGGUCCUAAGGUAGCGAAAUUCCUUGUCGGGUAAGUUCCGACCUGCACGAAUGGCGUAAUGAUGGCCAGGCUGUCUCCACCCGAGACUCAGUGAAAUUGAACUCGCUGUGAAGAUGCAGUGUACCCGCGGCAAGACGGAAAGACCCCGUGAACCUUUACUAUAGCUUGACACUGAACAUUGAGCCUUGAUGUGUAGGAUAGGUGGGAGGCUUUGAAGCGUGGACGCCAGUCUGCGUGGAGCCAACCUUGAAAUACCACCCUUUAAUGUUUGAUGUUCUAACGUUGGCCCCUGACCGGGGUUGCGGACAGUGUCUGGUGGGUAGUUUGACUGGGGCGGUCUCCUCCCAAAGCGUAACGGAGGAGCACGAAGGUUAGCUAAUCCUGGUCGGACAUCAGGAGGUUAGUGCAAUGGCAUAAGCUAGCUUGACUGCGAGCGUGACGGCGCGAGCAGGUGCGAAAGCAGGUCAUAGUGAUCCGGUGGUUCUGAAUGGAAGGGCCAUCGCUCAACGGAUAAAAGGUACUCCGGGGAUAACAGGCUGAUACCGCCCAAGAGUUCAUAUCGACGGCGGUGUUUGGCACCUCGAUGUCGGCUCAUCACAUCCUGGGGCUGAAGUAGGUCCCAAGGGUAUGGCUGUUCGCCAUUUAAAGUGGUACGCGAGCUGGGUUUAGAACGUCGUGAGACAGUUCGGUCCCUAUCUGCCGUGGGCGCUGGAGAAUUGAGGGGGGCUGCUCCUAGUACGAGAGGACCGGAGUGGACGCAUCACUGGUGUUCGGGUUGUCAUGCCAAUGGCACUGCCCGGUAGCUAAAUGCGGAAGAGAUAAGUGCUGAAAGCAUCUAAGCACGAAACUUGCCCCGAGAUGAGUUCUCCCUGAGACUUUAAGUCUCCUGAAGGAACGUUGAAGACGACGACGUUGAUAGGCCGGGUGUGUAAGCGCAGCGAUGCGUUGAGCUAACCGGUACUAAUGAACCGUGAGGCUUAACCUUACAACGCCGAAG